GACAAGCAUAUGACUACUGGCAGGAUCAACCAGGUAGCACGUCCUCUUUGACAUCCAGCGUCGGUAGUUGCCCUCCCGUCCACUUGCGUGGCAAGGCAGAGCCAACUACCGAGCUAGUUGUCGCAAUUGAGCGGGCCUAGCUCGUCCUACUUGUAUGAGGAUCGGCACAGUAUGUUGCGUAAUCCUACCACUAACUGUGGAGAGGUAGAGGCAACACAUGUUCCGGUUGUUCUCAAAUUCGGAGAGCCAAGCUCGUCCUACUUGUAUGAGGAUCGGCACAGUAUGUUGCGUAAUCCUACCACUAACUGUGGAGAGGUAGAGGCAACACAUGUUCCGGUUGUUCUCAAAUUCGGAGAGCGUUAUUAGGGUCAGGCCGAGGCAACCAAAAAGGGCCACGAGCCUAUAUCAUGAGCAACAUCCAAAACCAACAGCGAGAGCGAGGCUGCCUUGAUAGCACCGGGCACAAAAACAUGCCGGGCCAAGAGGAAACGCCGCAAGCGCCAUAUGGCCGCAGUAGCACACCCAAAGGCGUCCACCGCGAGUCAACUUUGUAUGAAGCACCACUGCCCGUAGGUUGGGUAACAUCACGCAAGCACCCGAAAGGCAACUGUAAGAUAUCUCACAAGAAUGAGAAGACACGGCGCCAAUAGUCGGCCGCACAAAGACGGGGGACCUACCAGCAGACACGGGUCCAAAACAGCUCAUGCGCUCGCGUAGCCA
This 720-nucleotide unclassified non-coding RNA is filed under the name Anthoxanthum dregeanum. RNAcentral describes it as "partial external transcribed spacer". Lineage: Eukaryota; Viridiplantae; Streptophyta; Magnoliopsida; Poales; Poaceae. The record is from RNAcentral.